GUGGGGAAUCUUCCGCAAUGGACGAAAGUCUGACGGAGCAACGCCGCGUGAGUGAAGAAGGUUUUCGGAUCGUAAAGCUCUUUCGUUAGGGACGAACGUGCUCUUUGUGAAUAAUGAGGAGUAAUGACGGUACUUAAAUAAGAAGCCACGGCUAACUACGUGCCAGCAGCCGCGGUAAUACGUAGGUGGCAAGCGUUGUCCGGAAUUAUUGGGCGUAAAGCGCGCGCAGGCGGGAUAUCAAGUCUGUCUUAAAAGUGCGAGGCUCAACCUCGUGAGGGGACAGAAACUGGUAUUCUUGAGUGUCGGAGAGGAAAGUGGAAUUCCAAGUGUAGCGGUGAAAUGCGUAGAGAUUUGGAAGAACACCAGUGGCGAAGGCGACUUUCUGGACGAUGUCUGACGCUGAGGCGCGAAAGCUAGGGGAGCGAACGGGAUUAGAUACCCUGUAGUCC
Molecule: ribosomal RNA, 449 nt
Filed under: uncultured bacterium
Lineage: Bacteria
Description: partial 16S ribosomal RNA
Rfam family: Bacterial small subunit ribosomal RNA
Source: RNAcentral